GACGAACCGUGCAAACGUUAUUCGGAUUCACUGGGCUUAAAGGGCGCGUAGGCGGGUAUCCAAGUCAGGGGUGAAAUCCGGCAGCUCAACUGUCGAAUAGCUUCUGAUACUGGAUGUCUUGAGGGGGGUAGGGGCAUGUGGAACUUCCGGUGGAGCGGUGAAAUGCGUAGAGAUGUGGAGGAACACCAGUGGCGAAGGCGACUCUUUGGCCUGUAACUGACGCUGAGGAGCGAAAGCGUGGGGAGCGAACAGG
Molecule: ribosomal RNA, 253 nt
Filed under: uncultured bacterium
Lineage: Bacteria
Description: partial 16S ribosomal RNA
Rfam family: Bacterial small subunit ribosomal RNA
Source: RNAcentral